Molecule: long non-coding RNA, 550 nt
Organism: Corvus hawaiiensis (hawaiian crow)
Lineage: Eukaryota; Metazoa; Chordata; Aves; Passeriformes; Corvidae
Exons: 3
Source: RefSeq, a predicted model, not a curated record
AAUAUCAACCCCGUGUUUAGGAUCUCUUCUGUAGUCCUUCUGCCAGCCCCUGCAAGGGAAAACACAGCCAUGGGAGUACUGAGGCAUUAAAACAGAAGCAAAUCAAGCAGAAAUCCCAGGAUUUCUACAUUCCUGUGCUGGUUUCCAUGUGCCUUCGGGGUUUUGAUUGGAUAAGCAAACAACAAGUUACAGGCAUUUGGGUGAUUCUAUUAAUACUGACUGGAUGAUUCAGUAAAUUGAUUCGUGAAUUGAGAAUUCAGGGUGAGUAAAAUUAUUUUCUUUUCUUAUACAGGAGCAAUGCUUCGAGUAUUUUCUCCUAUUACUGCUCUAUACUGUCUAUAUACAGAGAGGAUUUCCUUGGAAAGAGGUUCAGAAAAGAGCCUUCGUACUACAAGUACCUAGAAAGGGAAAGCAAAGAACUGAAGAUGACUGAGUAGAUGCCACUUCUGUCAGAUGUUUGGGGGUUUCCAUCUUAGGGAGGCCAGCUGCAAACUUUAAAGUCAUUAUGCUGUGUAGUGACUUGAAUGUUAAAUUAAUCAUGAAGCAGUUU